UACGUAGGUGGCAAGCGUUGUCCGGAUUUACUGGGCGUAAAGAGCGCGCAGGCGGUCGUUCAAGUCGCGUGUGAAAGCCCCCCGGCUCAACUGGGGAGGGUCACGCGAUACUGAUCGACUCGAAGGCAGGAGAGGGAAGUGGAAUUCCCGGUGUAGUGGUGAAAUGCGUAGAUAUCGGGAGGAACACCAGUGGCGAAGGCGGUUCUCUGGGCAUUACCUGACGCUGAGGAGCGAAAGUGUGGGGAGCGAACAGG
Molecule: ribosomal RNA, 254 nt
Filed under: uncultured bacterium
Lineage: Bacteria
Description: partial 16S ribosomal RNA
Rfam family: Bacterial small subunit ribosomal RNA
Source: RNAcentral